RNAcentral lists this long non-coding RNA (885 nucleotides) under Pogona vitticeps (central bearded dragon). Its description in RNAcentral is "lncRNA (ENSPVIG00000017415.1)". Lineage: Eukaryota; Metazoa; Chordata; Lepidosauria; Squamata; Agamidae. The record is from RNAcentral.
CCGGCAGGGUCGACCCGGGAAAAGCGUCCUCAGCCGGUUCCCUUUCGGAGGGCAGGCCUCUGACAAGCGAGGGAGGGAGGAGGCCCGGCCAGACCCGAAGUGGGGGAGGCCUUCCUUCAGGACCCACUGCGGCAGUUGAGCUUUCGUGGGCCAGCCCCCCCCCCUUCCUCAGACCUCCGGGAACGCUCACUUUCCACAGGUCUGGCGAAGGGGGUCUUGGCCCACAAAAGCUCGCCUUAAAAUAUCGCAGCGAGUCUUGAAGGAAAGCCCCUGCCCCCUCCCUCUUUGGGUCUGGUCUGGUCUUGUUUGGUCCCUCUGGAUGUGGCCGGAUCAGCUCACACAGGUUAACAGCCUCUUCCAAAACUAAGGAAUCUAGGGGUGUGAAAGAGCCAAGGCCCAAGAGGGACUAAACAUUGGUUGGGAUUCGCCCAGGCUCGGUCUCUGAGUUGAAACCAGGUAGUGGGAAAGGUUUAUUUCAGGUGCAACCUGCCACCUUGGUCAAUAAAUUAAUAAACCUAGCAUACCAGCGACUCUUAAGGGGGAUGCCUUACCCGUUUAAUCCAAAAAACAAAAAUAUUGACUGUACAGCGAGAUCAGCUAAAGGGUGAAGUCCCUGCCCAAAUAAUUUUUACAAAAAAUUGUUCUCAAGGCUGCUGUCAUUUCUAGUCUUUUAAUAUUAUUAUCAAGUGCUGCUUAAGCUCUGAAUGGAACCAGAGUAUCCUUCAUAUGGACUUUUUCUUGUUUUGCUCAGUCUGUGCAUACUCCAGAGAAUUUUAGACCUAGGCCUUCAUUGUAAUGCAAAGCAUAAAUCGGACAGCAGCAGCAUAAAAAGUCUCUGGCUCAUACCACUCGGGACAAACCUACAGGAAAAGGUUUCAAGAAUUG